Long non-coding RNA from Chinchilla lanigera (long-tailed chinchilla), 2841 nucleotides. Ensembl lists it as uncharacterized. Lineage: Eukaryota; Metazoa; Chordata; Mammalia; Rodentia; Chinchillidae. The record is from Ensembl.
UUGCCACAGUGACUCUGUAACCGGACGGCUGCGGAAGAGGCAAAGUAGCCCCAACCACGCAGAGCAAAGACAGCCUGGUCUAGAGCACAAGCGGUCCUCAGAGAGCAAUUGCCCUCCCAUUAUGCCUCUGCCUCUGGCAGCCACUGCUGAUGAUCAAAAGCUUUUAAUUGCUCUUUGCUGUAUUUAACAGAGAUUCCUGUCAUACACGAAAUUCCAGCUGAUCACAAAGAAGUCCUGUCCUGUAAGGCUGUUUCAUGGAAGUUAUGAUUUCCAUUGGUAUAGGCGAGAACUGAAAGAGGUCGCAAUCAUCAUGUAGUCAACCUUUUUUUCUCUUAUAGAUGAAACCAGAGAUAAAAUAGGAAUUUGUCCAAGUCAGAGUUUGGAAAAAACCCAGAAUUCCAGGCUCGGCCUGAUGGUGUUUGCUCUCCGUGCUGCUUCUGGCCACAGACGAGAAGGACACAGUCAUAAAAUUGUGAAGAAGACAGUUAAGAUCCAUGCUGAUGGGAAAAGAGAAUCAGCUAUGCAUUGUACUCUACUGGACAGAGCCUUUCUGUGGCGCAGCGAGGAGUUAUUGAGAAAAUAUUGAGAAAAAGUUAAUCUCAAGAACUGAGUACUAGAUGGAUGAUGAUCAUAAAUAAACAGCACUGGAACCAACAUUUCUCUAAGGAAAGAAGGCAACAUUACUUCAGAAAUCAUCACCAGAGUCCUCAAUAUUUGUGGAAACUAAAGUUCAGUCAGUGAGUGAAUGUGUAUUCCUUUUUUUCUUUAGUGCUGGAAAUGGAACCCAGGGUUUCACUCAAGCCACACAAGUGCCCUACUGCUGAACUACACCUCUAGCCAGAGUCUUGUCUUUGUUUGGGUUUAUCUGAAUUCUAAACCAGAUUGAGCAUUUUCACCAAAUUAUUGCAUCACCAGCGGUUACCAUGGUCAGGUUUCUGUGUCUUUCUCCCUUUCUCUCCCAUAUCUGCAUUCAUGAUGUAUUUUAUCUACAAAAUCAUAAUAUAUACAAGGAAUAAUCAAACACUUCAACACAUAUUUAAGUUUUAAAAAAUGUUUGUUUUAAAAAUUAUUACAGUAAGAGACACAUUGCCAUUAAUUUCCCUCAAAAUACUCCCUCUCGCAGUAAACACUCAUUCUGUCAUUCUUGCCGCUUUGUAAAGUAGUUCUGCAAGUCCUCUUUUAUAAGUGUCUUUAGUAACACUCUUGUGGCUGCCUCAAUGUCCUGAAUCAAUUCAAAACUUUUAUAUUUCAUGGUCAUUUUUUACUUUGGGGAAGUGCUAAAAGUCACACGGUGCCAGAUCUAGUGAAUAAGAUAGAUGAGGAUGUACUGUAAAAUUUUGUUUGAAAAAGAUGCCAUAAACAGUUCAUCAGUCAGGUGUGAUCAACAGAUAUUGUGAAUGUUUAAACUAAAACAUUUAUAACAGUAAAAACACAUUGCUGUAAGUCCCCUCCAAAAUAUUCAAAAUACUCCAUCUUGCUUUGAAUACACUUUUCUCACUGGGCAAUUGUCCUUUACAGUAAUGUUUAAAAACUUAAACAUUCUCUGUGUUUUUGGAUCACCUCUUGUAUAUUACCUAAAAUAAAUCUCACAGCAACUUCUUGAAACCCUGAAAACACAGAAGCAUAGGGAAGUUAUGUACAUAUGUAUAUACAGAGCAGAGAGCAGCAUGGAUGCACGAUUAUUCCUGUCAGUGUGAGUCUAUGUCCCUGCUUUCCCCAUGGUACCACCAAGUUUGUGUGGAGCGUUUGAAAGAGGGCUUUAUGCGUUCUAGUAAUUUUCCAGCUGUCUUAGAGGCAAGCAAAUAAAGAGGGAAGAAGUCUGUGAUGGAGAACGAUGACAUAAUAAAGUCAGUACGCAAGGAGAGUCAUGAAGUAGAUGAAAAGUCUAACAGACUUUAGAGAGAUGGAGAAUGCAUUUCAUACUUUUUAGUGUAUUUUUGCCAUGCUGUGAUAAAAUCUAGAACCUCACGCAGCCUAGGUAAGUGCUCUACACUGAGUAAUAGCCCCAGCACCUCAACUGUUUUGCAAGUGCUUACACUGUAACACAGCACUGCACUUUCUCCUCUAAAGAAUUCAUACUAAAGGAGGAGGCGAGCAAUGGAGGGACAAGCAUAACUGGAUCUCUGCUCCAGGCCCAGAACAGUAUUUCUCUCCAGCCUGACCCAUACUGGCUGGUGGUCACAGUAUCUCUCUCUCUCUCUCUCUCCCUCUCUCUCUCUCUCUCUCUCCCUUCUUUUCUCCCUCCCUCCUUCUCUCUUCCUCUUUCUAGUCUGCAGGGUCAGCUCUGAGAGUGGAUCUCACUAGCUCAACAGACCCCCUACAUUUCACAGCACUCUUGUUUCUCACCUGAACUAACGCAGGGGUUUCUUUACUCUUUCACGAAUAACAGCCAGAACCUUUCUUUUGAAAUAUGUCUUUCUUUCCCCAAAUAAACUCAUUCAGCAUGUUCACAGUGAAUACAUCUGAAUUCUAUUAGAUUAUGGGAAAUCCACGUGGUCCUGCUCGUGUGCAUGGCCGACUUUCCUUCCUUUCUCUCCUCUUGUAGUCAUGCUGGGCUUUCUGCCUCCAUCUGUGACACGGCCUUACCUCUAUCCCUGAACCUUUUCAGGAUAUUUACACUCUCCAUUAGCGGAAUGAUUUUCCCUCCAGGGCCACCUUGUACUUUCCUUUCCCCCGUCAUUUAGAUCUUAGCUCCAGCAACACCUGUCCAUGGAAGGAUUGUGUAUGGCAUAAAAGAUAUGCUGAAGUCCUAAAGCCAAGAAUCCGUGUGUACUGCCUUACUUGAAAAGAGUGCCUUUAAAAAUAUAAUCCGGGGCCGGGGAUAUAGCUCAGUGGUAUACG